GACGAACGCUGGCGGCGUGCUUAACACAUGCAAGUCGAGCGGAGCGGCGAACGGGUGAGUAACGAGUGAGUAACUGCCCCCCUCUCUGGGAUAACAGUUGGAAACGGCUGCUAAUACCGGAUAGUGGGGGAUGACUCGCGUCCUAUCAGCUUGGUGGUGGGGUAGUGGCCUACCAAGGCGACGACGGUUAGCCGGCCUGAGCGGGCGACCGGCCACAUUUCGCUGAGAUACGGCCCAAACCCCUACGGGAGGCAGCAGUGGGGAAUAUUGCACACUGGGGGAAACCCUGAUGCAGCAACGCGCGUUGGGGAUGACGGCCUUCGGGUUGUAAACCGCUUUCAGCCAUGACGCGGUAGUGGCAUAAGAAGCACCGGCUAACUACGUGCCAGCCGCCGCGGUAAUUC
RNAcentral lists this ribosomal RNA (404 nucleotides) under uncultured bacterium. Its description in RNAcentral is "partial 16S ribosomal RNA". It matches the Rfam family "Bacterial small subunit ribosomal RNA", at positions 28 to 526 of the family's 1533-position model. The record is from RNAcentral.